UUCAACAACGGAUCUCUUGGUUCUGGCAUCGAUGAAGAACGCAGCGAAAUGCGAUAAGUAAUGUGAAUUGCAGAAUUCAGUGAAUCAUCGAAUCUUUGAACGCACAUUGCGCCCGCCAGUAUUCUGGCGGGCAUGCCUGUCCGAGCGUCAU
Molecule: ribosomal RNA, 151 nt
Filed under: uncultured Ascomycota
Lineage: Eukaryota; Fungi; Ascomycota
Description: 5.8S ribosomal RNA
Rfam family: 5.8S ribosomal RNA
About the family: 5.8S ribosomal RNA (5.8S rRNA) is a component of the large subunit of the eukaryotic ribosome. It is transcribed by RNA polymerase I as part of the 45S precursor that also contains 18S and 28S rRNA.
Source: RNAcentral